This is a long non-coding RNA of Armigeres subalbatus, 916 nucleotides long. RefSeq lists it as uncharacterized. The transcript is spliced from 4 exons. The record is from RefSeq and is a predicted model, not a curated record. NCBI's taxonomy places the organism in Eukaryota, Metazoa, Arthropoda, Insecta, Diptera, Culicidae.
AGUUCGCUGCAAAUUAGGGCGCUAGGCGCCGUGUUUCAUUAACGCCUAUUUGAGGCCUAGUGAGUGUAUAACGAACGGCGCAAACUAAUCGUUCGCCGGUUCGUAACAGACGGGAAAAACUGUGUACGCGGAAUAGAAACACGCGCGGCAGUAGGAAAAACAGGACAAAAUCUCACCCGGUAAACUAAACGCUGUGGGUUGGCUCGAUCACUUUCCGUCGGAUCACAGGAGUGGAAAUCAGUCCCGAAAAAGGCAAUAAAACCAAGAUCGUAUGCAAGCUCAUGCACGGUCACGGCAACGCGGGUAGAAUCGACGAGGUCCACGCUACUAGGAUAAAAAGCACCCCAUCGGGGUGUUUUUGCCGAGCCAGUCCACGGUCAGGUUGCACGAUUUAAUCAUUCCUACCGGACGAGUAGAGGGCCGUCGGAUUAUUUCGUCUAAGCUGUCAGAUUUUUCCUACCGGACGGGUAGACGGCAAGUACCGGCACAAAGAGCGGGUGGUCGGAAGGGACCAGAAACAGCCCAGCCGGUUGAGAGCAUCCUCUUCGAGGACGGGGGAGAUCCAGUGACUCGGAGGGACCCCAUCCAGUAGUUGGUCGCACUGGACGGCCAGAGGGGUCUCCAGCAGAGCACUUUCGAGGCGAGCUGAGGGAAAAAUGCGUGCGUGGUGCGGCGGCAGACGUCCGUCCGUAAUGAGAAGGUAGUGCCGGGGGACGCCGUGAGGGUACCGUGAGUACCGAGAAGUACUCUGCCGUGAAUCGCAUAUUUGUCCCAUAUGAAUAGGAAACCCAGCAAAGAUGGGACAGAUAUGCGAUUCACGGCAGUACUGUAAGUAGAAAACUGUUAGAUUGUAAGAGAUGAGGAAAGAAAAGGGAAAGUAGAGAGAAUGUAGGAGGAAGAAAGGAAAGGUUGGAAG